AGUGAACGCUGGCGGUAGGCCUAACACAUGCAAGUCGAACGGCAGCACAGUAAGAGCUUGCUCUUACGGGUGGCGAGUGGCGGACGGGUGAGGAAUACAUCGGAAUCUACUUUUUCGUGGGGGAUAACGUAGGGAAACUUACGCUAAUACCGCAUACGACCUACGGGUGAAAGCAGGGGAUCUUCGGACCUUGCGCGAUUGAAUGAGCCGAUGUCGGAUUAGCUAGUUGGCGGGGUAAAGGCCCACCAAGGCAACGAUCCGUAGCUGGUCUGAGAGGAUGAUCAGCCACCCUGGAACUGAGACACGGUCCAGACUCCUACGGGAGGCAGCAGUGGGGAAUAUUGGACAAUGGGCGCAAGCCUGAUCCAGCCAUACCGCGUGGGUGAAGAAGGCCUUCGGGUUGUAAAGCCCUUUUGUUGGGAAAGAAAAGCAGCAGGUUAAUACCCCGCUGUUCUGACGGUACCCAAAGAAUAAGCACCGGCUAACUUCGUG
Molecule: ribosomal RNA, 492 nt
Filed under: uncultured bacterium
Lineage: Bacteria
Description: partial 16S ribosomal RNA
Rfam family: Bacterial small subunit ribosomal RNA
Source: RNAcentral